UGAGUUUGAUUCUGGCUCAGGACGAACGCUGGCGGCGUGCUUAACACAUGCAAGUCGAGCGAUUCAUCUGUUUAACACUGAGCACUUAAAAAGAAAAAGAAACUUAAGUAUUGAGUGUUAAACAGAUGGAUAGCGGCGGACGGGUGAGUAACGCGUGGGAAACCUGCCCUAUACAGGGGGAUAGCCUCGGGAAACCGGGAUUAAUACCCCAUAAAACUUUAUUAUCGCAUGAUAAAAAAGUCAAAGUGAUUAGCGGUAUAGGAUGGUCCCGCGUCCCAUUNNCUGGUUGGUGAGGUAAAAGCUCACCAAGGCAACGAUGGGUNGCCGGCCUGAGAGGGUGAACGGCCACACUGGAACUGAGACACGGUCCAGNCUCCUACGGGAGGCAGCAGUGGGGAAUAUUGCACAAUGGGCGAAAGCCUGAUGCAGCGACGCCGCGUGAGCGA
This 446-nucleotide ribosomal RNA is filed under the name uncultured Gram-positive bacterium. RNAcentral describes it as "bacterial SSU rRNA". It matches the Rfam family "Bacterial small subunit ribosomal RNA", at positions 1 to 408 of the family's 1533-position model. The record is from RNAcentral.